GCGGGUGUAGCUUAAUGGUAAAGCUNCAGCCUUCCAAGCUGGUGACGUGGGUUCGAUUCCCAUCACCCGCUCCA
RNAcentral lists this transfer RNA (74 nucleotides) under Rickettsiales bacterium. Its description in RNAcentral is "tRNA-Gly". It matches the Rfam family "tRNA". Rfam says of the family: Transfer RNA (tRNA) molecules are approximately 80 nucleotides in length. Their secondary structure includes four short double-helical elements and three loops (D, anti-codon, and T loops). Further hydrogen bonds mediate the characteristic L-shaped molecular structure. tRNAs have two regions of fundamental functional importance: the anti-codon, which is responsible for specific mRNA codon recognition, and the 3' end, to which the tRNAs corresponding amino acid is attached (by aminoacyl-tRNA synthetases). tRNAs cope with the degeneracy of the genetic code in two manners: having more than one tRNA (with a specific anti-codon) for a particular amino acid; and 'wobble' base-pairing, i.e. permitting non-standard base-pairing at the 3rd anti-codon position. The record is from RNAcentral. Lineage: Bacteria; Pseudomonadati; Pseudomonadota; Alphaproteobacteria; Rickettsiales.